RNAcentral lists this ribosomal RNA (227 nucleotides) under Metschnikowia pulcherrima. Its description in RNAcentral is "partial 26S rRNA". It matches the Rfam family "Eukaryotic large subunit ribosomal RNA", at positions 1612 to 1848 of the family's 3401-position model. The record is from RNAcentral. Lineage: Eukaryota; Fungi; Ascomycota; Pichiomycetes; Serinales; Metschnikowiaceae.
AAUAUUCCAGAACUUGGAUAUGGAGUUCACGGCAACGUAACUGAAUGUGGAGACGUCGGCGUGGGCCCUGGGAGAAGUUUUNNNUUUCUUCUAACAGCUUAUGACCCUGGAUGGUUUAUCCAGAGAUGGGGUUUUGUAACUGGAAGAGCACCUUUGGCUACUCCGGUGCGCCUACGACGGUCCUUGAAAAUCCACAGGAAGGAUUUACUCUCAUACCAAGUCGUACU